UACGUAGGGUGCAAGCGUUGUCCGGAAUUAUUGGGCGUAAAGAGCUCGUAGGCGGUCUGUCGCGUCGGCUGUGAAAACUUGGGGCUCAACCCCAAGCCUGCAGUCGAUACGGGCAGACUAGAGUGUGGUAGGGGAGACUGGAAUUCCUGGUGUAGCGGUGAAAUGCGCAGAUAUCAGGAGGAACACCUGUGGUGUAGACGGCUUUCUGGACCAUAGCUGACGCUGAGACACGAAAGCGUGGGUAGCAAACAGG
This 253-nucleotide ribosomal RNA is filed under the name uncultured bacterium. Its description in RNAcentral is "partial 16S ribosomal RNA". It matches the Rfam family "Bacterial small subunit ribosomal RNA", at positions 524 to 776 of the family's 1533-position model. The record is from RNAcentral.